Long non-coding RNA from Cygnus olor (mute swan), 811 nucleotides. RefSeq lists it as uncharacterized. NCBI's taxonomy places the organism in Eukaryota, Metazoa, Chordata, Aves, Anseriformes, Anatidae. The transcript is spliced from 3 exons. The record is from RefSeq and is a predicted model, not a curated record.
AGAACACCCCUUGCCAACAUCAGCAUAAAGGAAAGGGAUAGAUGCAGCUGCAAUGGUGAAGGGGAAGGCCAUGCAACAGUACGGCCUUUAAAGAUGGAAAUCAAUCAGAGUCAACAUGUUCUCUGCAAUGUGAAUCCCAAACUCAGCACUUCCAGCACAACCAAAAGCAAAAUAGGUUAUCAGUAUGUCAGAUUUUGUUAGUAUGUCUCUGUUACAUAUUUAUUAAAGAUCUAUAAAUACACAGUUAUGUAGAAAGGUUAUACGUUUUACAAUCAUAGUAACCAUAUGCAAAUAGUUCAAAUAUUUGGUGACUCAGGUAUCAGGUCACAGGCAUUUUAUCUCAGCUAUUUAUAAUAUGCUCAAGCCAAUUCUUUGUCAUUUUCAACCCCAUUGUAAGCAGUAACAGAGAACAGGGUUUCUGUUCAUCAGCCAACAUCCAUACACUUUAGGUGUGGAUGAAACAAAGACAAAGCACAAAUUAUUUUUUGUUUUCUUUUCCAAGUAUAAAUCCCUUGCUAGGGAAGAGCAACACUUUUACAUAGUUGUAACACUUGUUUGACAGUAACAAAUGGCAGUUUGUAGUGGUAGCUAUCUGCACAAAGCUUCACGCAUAUCAAACACCCCAGUCUUCUACAGGAACAGUGAAGACUCAUUGUUGCUGCUACUGGUUUCACAGUUUCAUCAAGAGCUUCAUUAUCAGGCUGAUGGCUUAAAAAGGAGUGGUAAAAUGAAGCGGGAUGGAUGUACAUGUACCACACUGUAGGCAUAGGCAGAGAACACAUGGGGUGGAGAGGGGGAAAUGACCAAACAC